Pygocentrus nattereri (red-bellied piranha) is the source of this 7732-nucleotide RNA transcript. RefSeq lists it as uncharacterized. The record is from RefSeq and is a predicted model, not a curated record. Lineage: Eukaryota; Metazoa; Chordata; Actinopteri; Characiformes; Serrasalmidae. The transcript is spliced from 2 exons.
UGUAAGGAUCCAUCCUCAGUGUAACUGCCUACAAUAGCAGUGCAUAUUUUCAUGUAGUACACCUUUCGUUUUGGUUCAUACCGCCAAGGACAUUAAGAAUGUAGGCGGAACUAUAUGUCUGCAAAGGUUUCCGGGGGGACCCAUUAUAUGCACGGAUAUAUACAAGUAGUAGAAAGUUCGGUUGUCACAGCUUUCUGAAGUUAUGGCCAAGUGUUAAAAGGUGUUUAAUCUGUUCAAGAAACACUCCAAAGGAAGCUAUUCCCUCCCUGUGUUAUUUAAUGCAGCCAAUGAGGUUUGUGUUCUGUUUCUAUAUGUUAUUUGGUAUAAGUGAAGUUGAAAUAUUGCAUUGCUGCUAAUGUCGCUAAUAGGCACAUAGCUAAACCUUCAUGUAAACCUUAAGUUAAACCGUUUCUAAUACAAAUGGAUAUUUGUAUGCAAUUUCGUCAUAUAUGUUGAACUAAGGAUAUGUUAAUGUGGUUUAAAACGAAGAUAAAGGUUCAUAUUGAACAAGGACAAACAUUGACAAGGACAAAGAGCUAAUUCAUAAUGAAUAAAUAACCAUUGUUAGUUCUACAACACAAGAAAUAUUUCUUUGUAUAAGUUUACAUUUAUUUCAUAGUUAAAGGGUAUUAUAUUGGAGUUUAAAUAAGCCAUUUAUGCACAAUUGUACAUUUGUUUUUAUCUUAUUGGUUUUUGCUUGUGUAAUUCUGUAUUACAGUUCUCACGUUUAGGAAUAAAUCCUAAUCAGUGAUGUUAAGAACAGUUGUGCUGUCAUCAUUAUAUCAGAGGGAGGCACAGUGAGAACUCAAUGCUCCAGAGGACAGCACCAGAGAGCAGUGAUUUACAGUAACAAGAAAGGAUGUCUGAGAUUGAAAGAGAGUCUGUAGAUAUGCAUACGCAGCAGAGCUGUACGGACAUGAACCCACAGCCAAGUGACAGAGAUGAGCUGCAGCUUCACGCAGACAUGCCUUCACCAGUAACUGGUGGAGCAAGUGGCUAUGACUUUGUUCCUCCACAAGUGCCGAAUAGAGACCAAAGAGUCCGCAAGAUGUCGGAAAAGGGUCAAGAACUGCACGAUGAGCAAGUAAAAAGAAUUGCACGUCGUUUCAGUGUGUGCUAUGAAAGGUGGAAGGAGGUCACAAAGAAAGCCAACCAAAUGCUAAGUGAUCAAUGCUCAGCCGACCUACUGAAUGAACAUGUCACUAAAGUAAAUGAUGCUUCAAGGAGUGUGAAUGCUGUUUAUGAAGAGUUGCGACGGAAGAGUGUUCCUGACAAUGACACACGCCGUAGAGUUGACACCUGUGAAACAGUGACACAGAGGAUUGUUAAGCAAGCAAUGGCAAUUUUAGACACAAUAAAUGGUCACGGGGAUGAAGAACAAGGUGGUGAUGAGACAAGGUCCACCAAGAAGAGCAUCAGCUCUCACAGUACUAAGGCUUCUACUCAUUCCCGUCUAACUUCUGCCAGCAGAAAGAGUGCAGCUGCCGAAGUUGCCGCCAAUGAAGCCACCCUACAAGUACUGCUGGAGCAAGAACAUCAUAUUGAAGAAUUGCAGAGGCUGGAAGCUGAAGCUGCCCAGCUAAAGGCUAAACAGGAGGCUGAGAUUGCAGAGAGACAAAGACUGCUAGAAGCCAAACGCAGAGAAAUAGAACGUUUCGAGACAAUUAAGAAACUAAAGGCUGCCAAGGCACGACAGCAAGUAUAUGAACAGAGCGAGAGCUCACGUCAAACAUCUAAACAGAGUCAAUGCUCCGAUGACGACAUAAAUGAGCUGCUCCAUAAAUCUGUUCCUGUGAGGAUUAAAGAGAAAGUCAAGCAGGAACUAAGCCCAACACAGCACCAUUCUCCACCACAAGCUGUAAUGCAUCCAGCUGAAGACAACACAGCAGCUCUUGUUAGAGCACUCACAGAAUCCAUUAAUGCUAGCCGCAUGCCUGUACCUGAACCAACAAUGUUCAGCGGUGACCCACUCAGAUUCCAUGACUGGAAGGUUUCCUUUCAGACCCUCAUUGACAGGAAGAGCAUACCAGCUGAAGAAAAGAUAUACUAUCUACGCAAGUAUGUGGGUGGAUCUGCGAAGAAAGCCAUAGAGAGCUACUUCCUACUAGGCACUAAAUCAGCCUACCUUGCAGCAUGGUGCAUCCUGGAGGAGCGAUACGGUAGUCCGUUCCUCAUCGCCAAGGCUUUCAGAGAUAAGAUUGAUGCAUGGCCCAAGAUAAGUGCUAAAGGCAGUCUGGAACUUCAAGAAUUUGUUGACUUCCUUCGCAGCUGUGAGUCCGCAAUGCCUCAAAUCAAAAGUCUUGAAGUGCUAAAUGACUACAAUGAGAACCAGAAAAUACUUGCUAAACUUCCAGACUGGUUGACUUCAAGGUGGAACCGAAAGGUCAUGGAAGUGGAGGAAGAAAGUCAAACAUUCCCAAGCUUCAGCCAGUUUGUCCAGUUCCUCACACGGGAGGCCAAGAUUGCAUGCAAUCCAAUCACAUCUCUCCAUGCACUGAAACCAAGUGAAGGAGAGAAGGGUAAAGUUUUAAAGAACAGAAGUCCUGGAGCGAAGGCCUUGGCAACGAGCGCAAAUGAGAAAGCCAAUGCCACAUGCUGUGUCUUCUGUGAGAAGGUAGGGCACGGUCUGUCUGAGUGUCGUAAGUUCAUAAGGAAGGCAAUCACAGAACGACUAAAGUUCGUCCAAGAGAAGAAGUUGUGUUUUGGCUGUCUGAAGUUUGGCCAUCGUUCCAAAGACUGUGGAGACAGGAACAUCUGUAGGUUGUGUGAGAAAGGACAUCCGACAUGCCUCCAUGAUAAUCGUACAAAGGAAGAAAGGAUGCAAGCAAGGACUGGUGGAGCUAGAGACCAUGACAAGUCAAGGGAAGGGAAGGCAGAUCAGCCACAAGAUCUAGCACCAAGCACAUCACGUGAAGCAACAUCUCAUAGAGUCACCCAGAAUGGCAGAGACACUCAUACAUCCACAAUAAUUCCAGUGUGGGUGUCCACCAUGGCAGAGCCACAUAGUGAAGUUCUUGUGUAUGCACUUCUUGAUACGCAAAGUGACACAACUUUUAUCCUUGAAGAGACUGCAAAGGCACUCAAUACAAGGAGCGAACCAGUUCAGCUAAGAAUCUCUACACUAGCUUCAAGAAACACAGUUGUGUCCUGUCAGAAACUCACUGGUUUACAAGUGAGAGGGUUCUAUUCAGAUAAGAUAAUCCCACUUCCAGUGACCUACUCUAGAGAGUUUAUACCUGCAAACAGAAACCAUAUCCCUACACCAGAGACGGCAAAGGUAUGGUCUCAUCUUGAACAUAUUGCAGACGAGAUUGCUCCUCAGCAAAGCUGUGACAUCGGCUUGCUAAUUGGCUACAAUUGUCCUCAAGCUCUUGUACCAAGACAAGUGCUGCCCGGUGAAGACAAUCAACCCUUUGGACAGAGAACAGACUUGGGAUGGAGUGUGGUCGGCUACGGUGAUCCAUGCCUGAACUUUGGAGAUGCAAUUGGAGUAAGCCAUCAAGUCAUAGUGAAGCAAGUGAUGCCAGGUCUUCAGUCCUCAUCAGACCUCACAGGUGAAGUGCAUUACAUCUGUAGAACACAGAUCAAAGAAGUAAUUUUACCCGCAGAUGUCAUCAAGGUACUGGAAUCUGACUUCGCUGAAAGAGCUUCCGAAACUGACCAUGUCUCUCAAGAAGAUCUCAGAUUCUUAUCAAAAUUGAAGCAGGGAAUUGUACAUAAAAGUGAUGGUCAUUAUGAAAUGCCUUUACCAUUUAAAGGUGACAGACCCAACUUACCUGAUAACAAGGUGUGUGCCAUCCAUCGUCUCAAGUGUCUGGAAAGAAAACUGAGAAGGAAUGAGCAGUAUAAUAAAGACUACAAGGCCUUCAUGAAUGAGACCAUAAUCCGUGGAGAUGCAGAAAGGGUCGCAGAAGAAGACAUCCACAAAGGUCCAGUGUGGUAUAUCCCGCAUCAUGGGGUGUAUCAUCCCCAAAAGCCUGGGAGGAUACGAGUGGUCUUUGAUUGCUCAGCCAAGUUUCAAGGGACGUCCUUGAACGACCAUCUCUUGACAGGUCCAGAGCUGACAAACACAUUGGUGGGAGUUCUGCUUCGCUUUCGAAGAGGCCAGGUUGCAGUCAUGUGUGACAUUGAGCGAAUGUUUCACCAGUUCCACGUGAAACCAGAAGACCAAGAUUAUCUUCGGUUCCUUUGGUGGGAAAAUGGAAGUCUUGACGUCCAACCCUCCACCUAUCGAAUGAAGGUCCAUCUGUUCGGUGCAGCUUCAUCACCUGGCUGUGCCAACUAUGCACUCAAACACAUCGCAGCUGAAGGAGAAGGAUACUUCAGUGAUGACACCAUCAAAUUCAUACAGCGGAACUUUUACGUUGACGAUGGCUUGACGAGUGUAACAUCCACGAAAGAAGCAAUCCAGCUGGUGAAAGAAGCAAGAGAGCUUUGCAGCACAGGCAACCUCAGACUGCACAAGUUCAUUUCUAAUAGCAAGGAAGUCCUUGCCACCAUUCCUAAAGAAAAAUGUGCUGAAGCUGCAACAGACAAAGAUUUGGCACUUGGUGAACUGCAGAUAGAAAGAGCCCUUGGUGUGCAGUGGUGCGUGACUUCUGAUGAGUUUCAGUUCAGAGUGGUCAUCAAAGACAAACCAUUUACCCGAAGAGGAGUUUUGUCCACAGUUGCUUCAGUCUUUGAUCCGCUCGGAUUUGUGGCACCCUUCAUUCUAGUUGGAAAGCAGAUCCUACAGCAGAUGUGUAGGGAUAAGAUCAGCUGGGAUGAUACCUUACCUGAUGACCUGCGACUUCAGUGGGAAUGUUGGCUCAGAGAUCUACAAACCCUGGUUAAUGUUAAGAUCCCAAGAUGCUACGUUCCAGCAAGCUUCAAUGUACAGUAUUAUGAGCUUCACCAUUUCUCCGAUGCCAGUGUGUCGGGCUAUGGUGCAUGCUCAUAUCUCAGAGCAGUCAGUGAAACAGGUGAAGUCCACUGUUCCUUAGUUACGGGGAAAGCACGAGUUGCCCCCACCAAGGUCACAACCGUGCCAAGGCUUGAACUAUCGGCAGCAGUAGUAGCCGUCCGCAUCAGUGACAUGCUCAAAAAAGAACUGGAAUUAGAUUGUCUACAAGAAUUCUUCUGGACUGAUUCCAUGGUUGUCCUUGGGUACAUCAAUAAUGAAGCCAGAAGAUUUAAUGUAUUUGUAGCAAAUCGUGUUGAACGCAUCAAGCAAAGCACAGAAUCCACACAAUGGAAGUAUGUGGCUUCUGAAGAUAAUCCAGCAGACUACACCUCAAGGGGUCUAACAGUACAGCAGCUUGUAUCCUCUGACUGGCUCAUUGGCCCAAGGUUUCUGUGGCAGAAGGAGCUACCAAGAGGUAAAAUUAAGAUGGAAGAAAUUUCAAGUAGUGAUCCUGAACUCAAGAAGGUCCAGGUCCACAAUGUUUAUGCAAAGGAGACAAGGUCGUUGUUAGAUCGCCUGCACAAGUUCUCUGACUGGUCCAGAAUAGUAAAAGCUAUUGCCAGACUCAAGCGACAUGUGAAAGAAAUCAAGGGUCUUCAGCCAAGGUCCUGUGAAGUCACUAGCCUAGAGGAAAGGAGAGAAGCAGAGCUGACCAUAAUCAAGAUGGUUCAAGAAGCAUUCUUCUCAAAGGAGACACAAGGUAAGGACAAGUUCAAGAAGCUUUACAGAUUAAGUCCAUUUCUUGAUGGUCAAGGUAUCCUCAGGGUGGGAGGCCGCUUAACCCAUGCUGCUCUACAUCCAUAUGUUAAGCAUCCAGUGGUCCUUCCAAAGGACUGUCAUGUGUCAGCAUUACUCAUCAAGCACCAUCAUGAAAGGGUGCUCCAUCAGGGACGAGGAAUGACGAUGAAUGCACUCCGAUCCAAUGGCAUAUGGAUACUAGGCUGCAGCAAGGCAGUAUCAUCCCAUGUCUAUAAGUGCACGACAUGCAGGAAGUUCAGAAGAAGCCCAGAACAGCAAAGGAUGGCAGAUCUCCCAGAAGACAGGAUGGAAACCACCCCUCCAUUCACCUACUGUGGCAUGGAUUGUUUUGGACCAUUCUACAUUAAAGAGGGAAGAAAGGAGCUAAAACGUUAUGGGCUGUUACUUACUUGUAUGUGUUCUAGAGCAGUUCACAUUGAGAUGCUUGACGACCUGACCACGGAUGCUUUCAUUAAUGCUCUACGUUCAUUUAUCGCCAUUCGUGGAAUGGUACGCCAGAUAAGAUGUGAUCAAGGGACAAACUUUGUUGGAGCUAGACGUGAGUUUGCUGAAGCACUGAAGGAGGAAGAUCAGGAAAAGCUCAAGGAGCUUGGAUGUGAGUUUAUCAUGAACACCCCAGCCUCAAGUCACAUGGGUGGAGUCUGGGAAAGACAAAUUCGCACCAUCAAAAGUGUCUUGACAUCCAUCCUGGAACAGUCAGCCAGACAACUUGACUGCUCCUCGCUAAGAACAUUCCUGUAUGAAGUUAUGGCAGUUGUCAACAGCAGACCUCUGACCACUGAUUGUCUUAAUGACUCAUCCAGUCCAGAACCCCUUACCCCAAAUCACAUCUUGACAAUGAAGUCAACUAUUCUCGCUCCACCUCCUGGAAGGUUCAUCAAGGAAGAUCUUUACCUCCGCAAGAGAUGGCGUCGUGUUCAGCUGUUGGCCAACCUCUUCUGGAGUCGGUGGAAAAAGGAGUACCUCCUGAACCUUCAACACAGACAGAAGUGGACAAAGGAUCGCAGAGAUGCAAGGGUCAGUGACGUUGUUCUCCUGCAAGAAGAUACCACACCACGUAACCAGUGGAAGUUAGCUAAGGUCAUCGAAGUAUACCCAGGAAAGGAUGGAAAGGUCAGAAGACUGAAGUUGCUUAUCAGUGAUUCCAACCUCGAUGAGAAGGGAAAACGCGUCUCCAAACCUGUCCACCUCGAGAGACCCGUUCAUAAAACGGUGACGCUGCUGGAAGCAGCCUGAAGGCCCCAAUCUCUCUCUCUUUCUUUCCUUGUUUCUUCUCUCUCUGUCUCCCUCAAGGUACAGUCUGGUGAACAUGCCUAGGGAGCUCAAGUCCCGAAGCUAACGUUUGUUUGUUUUCUGCAUAGUAAAUUUUCAUUCUAAGUAACUUAGAGUAAAAUCAUAGAUUUGGUGGGAGUGUAACUGCCUACAAUAGCAGUGCAUAUUUUCAUGUAGUACACCUUUCGUUUUGGUUCAUACCGCCAAGGACAUUAAGAAUGUAGGCGGAACUAUAUGUCUGCAAAGGUUUCCGGGGGGACCCAUUAUAUGCACGGAUAUAUACAAGUAGUAGAAAGUUCGGUUGUCACAGCUUUCUGAAGUUAUGGCCAAGUGUUAAAAGGUGUUUAAUCUGUUCAAGAAACACUCCAAAGGAAGCUAUUCCCUCCCUGUGUUAUUUAAUGCAGCCAAUGAGGGUGUGUGUCUGGAUCAGACCUGACUGUGUGGCAAACUCCUGAAAUAAUAAACGCAGCAGAGGGUCAGCAUGUCAACAUCAGCUGCCACUUCACAGUUAAAUCAACCUGGGAACGUCUGAUGGUUGAAUGGUGGAGAAAUAAUGAAAUAGAAGUUAAAUGGGAAACAUAUGAUAUUUCUGCUCUGAACACUAUAAACCCAGAGAGCGUGAACCACAGCUCAGUACUCCAGAUUCCUUCAGUGCGUCUGAGUCACAGCGGCAUCUACACCUGUACAGUGUGGCAGGAUCUACCAAUGCUUGGAGAAAAGGUUUACGGACCAGGCACAGAGCUCAGAGUGGGUGAGUUC